GAGAACUUAGCAGAGAUGCUUUGGUGCCUUCGGGAACUCUGAGACAGGUGCUGCAUGGCUGUCGUCAGCUCGUGUUGUGAAAUGUUGGGUUAAGUCCCGCAACGAGCCGCAACCCUUAUCCUUUGUUGCCAGCGGCUCGGCCGGGAACUCAAAGGAGACUGCCGGUGAUAAACCGGAGGAAGGUGGGGAUGACGUCAAGUCAUCAUGGCCCUUACGGCCAGGGCUACACACGUGCUACAAUGGCGCAUACAAAGAGAAGCGACCUCGCGAGAGCAAGCGGACCUCAUAAAGUGCGUCGUAGUCCGGAUUGGAGUCUGCAACUCGACUCCAUGAAGUCGGAAUCGCUAGUAAUCGUAGAUCAGAAUGCUACGGUGAAUACGUUCCCGGGCCUUGUACACACCGCCCGUCACACCAUGGGAGUGGGUUGCAAAAGAAGUAGGUAGCUUAACCUUCGGGAGGGCGCUUACCACUUUGUGAUUCAUGACUGGGGUGAAGUCGUAACAAGGUAAGCGUAGCGAG
This 519-nucleotide ribosomal RNA is filed under the name uncultured bacterium. RNAcentral's name for it is "bacterial SSU rRNA". It matches the Rfam family "Bacterial small subunit ribosomal RNA", at positions 991 to 1509 of the family's 1533-position model. The record is from RNAcentral.